RNAcentral lists this ribosomal RNA (253 nucleotides) under uncultured bacterium. RNAcentral's name for it is "partial 16S ribosomal RNA". It matches the Rfam family "Archaeal small subunit ribosomal RNA", at positions 474 to 727 of the family's 1478-position model. The record is from RNAcentral.
UACCAGCACCCCGAGUGGUCGGGACGUUUAUUGGGCCUAAAGCAUCCGUAGCCGGUCCUGCAAGUCUUCCGUUAAAUCCAGCUGCUCAACAGAUGGGCUGCGGGGGAUACUACAGGGCUAGGAGGCGGGAGAGGCAAGCGGUACUUUAUGGGUAGGGGUAAAAUCCGUUGAUCCAUAGAAGACCACCAGUGGCGAAGGCGGCUUGCCAGAACGCGCUCGACGGUGAGGGAUGAAAGCUGGGGGAGCAAACAGG